CCUACGGGUGGCAGCAGUGAGGAAUAUUGGUCAAUGGGCGGGAGCCUGAACCAGCCAAGCCGCGUGAGGGAAGCAGGUACAGCGUAUCGUAAACCUCUUUUGUCAGGGAACAAAGGCGGGGACUAGUCCCCGGAUGAGGGUACCUGAAGAAAAAGCAUCGGCUAACUCCGUGCCAGCAGCCACGGUAAUACGGAGGAUGCGAGCGUUAUCCGGAUUUAUUGGGUGUACAGGGAGCGUAGACGGUUAUGUAAGUCUGGAGUGAAAGCCCGGGGCCCAACCCCGGGACUGCGUUGGAUACUGUGUAACUGGAGUACAGGAGGGGAAGGCGGAAAUACUGGUGUAGCGGUGAAAUGCGGAGAUAUCAGGAGGAACACCGGCGGCGAAGGCGGCCUGCUGGACUGAAACUGACGUUGAGGCUCGAAAGCGUGGGGAGCAAACAGGAUUAGAUACCCGAGUAGUC
RNAcentral lists this ribosomal RNA (460 nucleotides) under uncultured bacterium. Its description in RNAcentral is "partial 16S ribosomal RNA". It matches the Rfam family "Bacterial small subunit ribosomal RNA", at positions 338 to 795 of the family's 1533-position model. The record is from RNAcentral.